UCCAAACUAUUGGGAGAUUGAUGAGAUCGACCGACACCAAAUCAAGAUCAAUGAAGAUUACGAUUCCGUUUCGGUCAUCUCAUCAAUCUCCCAAUACGAACCU
Molecule: microRNA precursor, 103 nt
Organism: Arabidopsis lyrata subsp. lyrata
Lineage: Eukaryota; Viridiplantae; Streptophyta; Magnoliopsida; Brassicales; Brassicaceae
Rfam family: MIR3444 microRNA precursor family
Source: Rfam